This 212-nucleotide unclassified non-coding RNA is filed under the name Hevea brasiliensis (rubber tree). Lineage: Eukaryota; Viridiplantae; Streptophyta; Magnoliopsida; Malpighiales; Euphorbiaceae. The record is from RNAcentral.
GACAAAAUUAAGAAGAAAAGUGAAAAGAUCCAGAACUUUUUACAAAGAAAAGAGAAACAACUUAGCUAACAAACCUCUAAUUAAUUCACAUGUGAAAAUGUAUCAAUCUUAUCACUCUUCUAAAAUAGCACUCAGCUUAUUGUUAAAUUUCCUUACUCUGCCACCGCCACCACCCCCCAUCCUCCUCCUUGCCACCAGUCCUCCACUAUAAC